UACGGAGGAUGCGAGCGUUAUCCGGAUUUAUUGGGUUUAAAGGGUGCGUAGGCGGGAUGCCAAGUCAGCGGUAAAAAUGCGGUGCUCAACGCCGUCGAGCCGUUGAAACUGGCGUUCUUGAGUGGGCGAGAAGUAUGCGGAAUGCGUGGUGUAGCGGUGAAAUGCAUAGAUAUCACGCAGGACUCCGAUUGCGGAGGCAGCAUACCGGCGCCCUACUGACGCUGAGGCGCGAAAGCGUGGGUAUCGAACAGG
RNAcentral lists this ribosomal RNA (252 nucleotides) under uncultured bacterium. RNAcentral describes it as "partial 16S ribosomal RNA". It matches the Rfam family "Bacterial small subunit ribosomal RNA", at positions 524 to 776 of the family's 1533-position model. The record is from RNAcentral.